GACCUGCCCUCUCCUCGCGGUCCACCCCUCGGUUUGGUUUCGGCCAGGCCGGCGCGGGGAGGCGGGGACGCGAGGACGCGGUUAGUUUCCCCUCCCUCUUCGCGCGACGUGUCCUUGCCUCGCGCUCUUAAAGGGGCUGGAGCGGGACUUGGCGAAGCCCAGGGCCGUUGGUAGUCGCGGGGCUCGAGGCAGAGACCGUGGGAUUGGGCCUCAGGCUCUGCGCUGUGGUGUGGGCCGCACUGCCCAGAAGACUAGGGCACUGGCUGAGGACCCCCUUAUGUCAGGUGGCCGCGGUAGCGGUGAGGCUUUUCUUAGAGGCCCCUAGGCGUGGAGCCCCGCGGGGUAAUAUCAACUCUCUAGAACCUUAGCAAAGAAAUAAAGUGAGGAGGAAGCCUCUGAAAGCAAAAUGAUACAGUUUUCACAGACUCUUAUCAUAGUCACCACCAUCUACCUGGUCACCCAGACUAGAAACCUGGUUCUCUGGGACAUAGGAAAAAAUGCCUUCUCUCAAUGGACUCGUGCUAGGAUCCAGCAAAAUACUUAGCCUCUUGGAGCUUCAAAGUCUUUGCUCAUAAAAUGAGAGACUUGUGCUUAAGGACUUCCUCCACAAGUCCUUCCAGCUCACAUAUCACAUCAUUCUCUGAAACAUCACUGAUGACUGCAAUCAGAACAUCAAAUUGGACUUGGUGAAACUUCUAUUAGUGAGACCACACUGGAUUUCUAAAACUUGAUGACCACAGAUUGAAAACAACUAAAUAAAGAAGGUGUAGGGAUGCAUCCCAUUAUGUUGGAUAGAAGGGAUUGGGAUGUGAAAAUACCAUUAAAU
Mustela erminea (ermine) is the source of this 826-nucleotide long non-coding RNA. RefSeq lists it as uncharacterized. The record is from RefSeq and is a predicted model, not a curated record. NCBI's taxonomy places the organism in Eukaryota, Metazoa, Chordata, Mammalia, Carnivora, Mustelidae. The transcript is spliced from 3 exons.